GUUUCUCCCAAAGGGCAGCUCCCUUAAUAAAUCACCUGCAUAAGAAUCUCCAACUCAGGCUUUGUUAUCCCAUUUUAGAGAUGGGGAAAUCAGGCCCAGAUAAUUGAAGCAGCUUGUCCCCAGUCACCAAGCUAGAACUCAAGGGACCUGAAUUUGGUUUCAGGGACAUCUGACUCUAAACCUUUGACGUGAAUGCUAAGUGUUCCUAAUUCAUAGAACAGCCAUGAGAAUUAAAUGACACUUAUGCAUAAAAAAGACUUAUAGUGAUAAAGAAAUAAAUAUAAGGGAGUCAAAUUGUUAUUCCCAAUAGAUGAGAAAUUCAAGAUAAUGGCAGACUGUUUAGGCUGUUUACCCAAACCCAUUUCUCUUUUUCCCAUGCACAUAGCUGAAUAACUACAUUUCCCAGCUUCCAUUGCCCUCUGUGUGGCCAUGUGACUAGUUCUGGCCAAUGGAAUGUGAGAGAAAGUGAUAUUGGACACUUGCGGGAAAGGACAUUGCGGGAAGCAGGAGUAUAUCCUCCAUGUUCAUCUUCCUGCUGGCUGUAGGAAGGUAACCUUGAGGCACUAAUACCACAGUUCCCAAACUACAUGUCAACAUACCCUGUCGAGGCAUCACCACAAACUCACCCUGGUGCCAUAGGAUAUUUUAGGUUUUGGGGGGAUACACAGCAACAUCUAUCAGGCCCCAUGCAACCUGCUAGCUCAAGGUAAUUCAGGGCUUCACAUUAAUCACUAUGUUCUUUUCAAUGAUGUCAUAUCUUUGCAAAGCUGAGUAUUUGGCAGUUGUUAAGAUAAAAACCAAGUAGAGUAGAUUCUCAUUAUCUACAGAGUCUGUAUUUGUGAAUUCACCUACUCACCAAAAUUUAUUCAUAACCCCCAAAUCAAUACUCUCGUGUUUUCAAAGUCAUCUAUGAACAUGUGCAGAGCAGUCUGAAAAAGUCUGAACCACACAAUGUGCCCAUUGUCAGCCAAGGUCAAACAAGGUGUCCCUCUGCCUCCUUGUUUCAGCUCUCAAACUGUAAACAAGUGUCCUUUUCAUGGACUAUUUAGUGCCAGGUUUUUUCCAUUUUUGUUAUUCCUGUUGGUGAUUUCACUGUUUAAAGCAGCCCCCACGUGUAGUGCCGCAGGGCUGUCUAGUCUAGUGUUCCUAAGCAUGAGAAGGCUGUGAUGUGCCUUAUAAAGAAAAUACAGGUUAGGUAAGCUUCCUCCAGGCAUGAGUUAUAGUGCUACUGACUGUGAGUUCAGUGUUAAUGAACCAAUAAUGUAUACCAAAUAAGGUGUCUUUAAACAGAAACACACAUGAAAUACAUCAAAAUACAGGUUAUGUAUUGACUGGUUGACAAAAAUGUAGGGACUAAGGGCUCACAGGAACCCAACCCUGUAUUUCCUCUAAGAGCAAUGGUUAGGGAUUUGCUAACUCAGUGUUUGUGGUGACCGUAGAAAAUAUAUCUACCAUGAAUAAUGAGGAUCAACUGUACUUUAUGAAGAUCAAUGUAGGCACUGAGUUGUUACAGACAUAAAUACUCAUUAAGUUGUUUGAAUCUAACUACUUAAAAAUAAGUUAUUUUAAGCCUUGGCAAUACAGUGAGACCUCAUCUCUACAAAAAAAAAAAA
Long non-coding RNA from Macaca fascicularis (crab-eating macaque), 1613 nucleotides. The record is from Ensembl. NCBI's taxonomy places the organism in Eukaryota, Metazoa, Chordata, Mammalia, Primates, Cercopithecidae.